RNAcentral lists this unclassified non-coding RNA (298 nucleotides) under uncultured fungus. RNAcentral describes it as "sequence contains ITS2". Lineage: Eukaryota; Fungi. The record is from RNAcentral.
AACGCAAAUUGCACUUCUUGGUACUCCGAGGAGUAUGCUUGCUUGAGGGUUGGUCUACAAAAAAUCGUAAAUUUUUUUACGGAUCUGGGUUUUCCGAGUUUUCUCGACUUCGGUUGCCUAAAAUUUAUUUUGACAAUAAGGUAUCAAUUAGAAAUGUUCUAUCUUACAUAUUGUGAGUUCGUUAAUAAUUAUACCAAUUGUUGCUUCGCGUUAUUCAUCUAGUACCUUUGAUGAUUAGGUGAAAUAAUUCAAUUUUUAAUCCUACCUCAAGUCAAGUAAGGAUACCCGCUGAACUUAA